RNAcentral lists this ribosomal RNA (468 nucleotides) under uncultured bacterium. RNAcentral's name for it is "partial 16S ribosomal RNA". It matches the Rfam family "Bacterial small subunit ribosomal RNA", at positions 28 to 507 of the family's 1533-position model. The record is from RNAcentral.
GACGAACGCUGGCGGCGUGCUUAACACAUGCAAGUCGAACGGAAAGGCCCUGCUUUUGUGGGGUGCUCGAGUGGCGAACGGGUGAGUAACACGUGAGUAACCUGCCCUUGACUUUGGGAUAACUUCAGGAAACUGGGGCUAAUACCGGGUAGGAGCUCCUGCUGCAUGGGGGGGGUUGGAAAGUUUCGGCGGUUGGGGAUGGACUCGCGGGUUAUCAGCUUGUUGGUGGGGUAGUGGCUUACCAAGGCUUUGACGGGUAGCCGGCCUGAGAGGGUGACCGGCCACAUUGGGACUGAGAUACGGCCCAGACUCCUACGGGAGGCAGCAGUGGGGAAUAUUGCACAAUGGGCGGAAGCCUGAUGCAGCAACGCCGCGUGCGGGAUGACGGCCUUCGGGGUGUAAACCGCUUUCGCCUGUGACGAAGCGUGAGUGACGGUAAUGGGUAAAGAAGCACCGGCUAACUACGUG